This is a long non-coding RNA of Gorilla gorilla gorilla (western lowland gorilla), 7374 nucleotides long. RefSeq lists it as uncharacterized. The transcript is spliced from 4 exons. Lineage: Eukaryota; Metazoa; Chordata; Mammalia; Primates; Hominidae. The record is from RefSeq and is a predicted model, not a curated record.
CGUGCUCCGCAACAGCUUCCGGCGUGACGCAGUAGAAAAAGUGGCGUGGCUGGCGAUUCGUGUUCGUGAGGGCCUUUUCUGCAGCAGAAUAACAAAAGGCAACCCUGGGCUUGGCCAGCUCAAACAGGAAGAAAGCAAGGUGCUAAGGACCCAGCCAGCAUAGGCUCAGGCUGUGAAAGGCAAGGCCAUGCUAGAGGAAGAGGGAGAAGAUGGACCUGGUCUGGAGGCCUAACCAGCAGUCUGACAAUGCAUAGUGAAACUCCAUGGGAAAAGAUGACAUGAACUUAGAUGAAAGAGGUUGGCAAAUGCAAAAUCAGGGCUGUAAAAUGCAAGGGGAAUAAUCUUUAACUCCAUGAAAACCAAAACUUGGAUAGGGUCACACAUGAAGAUGAUGAUGAUGCCAGGAUCAGUGACAGCUCCUACUCAACUGCUAGGCUAAUGGCCUCUAAAGUGGACUUUGCCAUCCUUUGACCAUCAGAGCCAAGGGAGUCUUACCAAGUCUGUUUGGGAACAGCACUGGCAGGUCAAGUUUCCUGACUUCCUGGCCAGGAUUCCUGAAGUCCUUUUCAUCCCUGUCUGCACCAUCCACAGUGCCAUCUUCUACCUCCGUGGGUUCCCCAUUCUGGUGAUUCAGCUCUCCAGCCUCAAUAUCACUUCCUUCUUGGCCAGGAACAGCAUCGCUUGCCAUAGGAGGUGCAGAGGCCCAGGAGCCUGAAAGAGCAUUCAUUUCCUCAUAAAAGAUAGAAGGCUCAGGCACACGGCCUCUCCUCACUUUGCCGUAACUCAACUGUAGGCUUUUGAACUUGGUGCGACACUGUUCUGGGGUCCGCAGAAAACCCUGCUCCCAGAGUCCUUCCGCCAUGGCCCUGUAGAUCUGGCUGUUCUGCUGACAGGUCUGGAGUUUUCCAUAAAAUUGAGAACUACUAAGAAUAGCCAGGAGCGUCUUGGUCUCUUCAUAGCCCCAGGGCACACCUGUUGCUGGGGGACAAAGAAUAGGUCAAUCAGAUCUGUCAGUUAGAUCAUGGAGGACUGUACAUACUGCAGUGCGCAGUUUUGGCAGCUUAAAAAGUUACAUCCUAGGCUGGACGCGGUGGCUCACACCUGUAAUCCCAGCACUUUGGGAGGCCAAGGCGGGCAGAUCAUGAGGUCAAGAGAUCGAGACCAUCCUGGCCAACAUGGUGAAACCCCGUCUCUACUAAAAAUACAAAAAAAAAAAAUAGCUGGGUGUGGUGCCGUGCGCCUGUAGUCCCAGCUACUCAGGAGGCUGAGGAAGAAGAAUCACUUGAACCCAGGAGGCAGAGGUUGCAGUGAGCUGAGAUUGUGCCACUGCACUCCAGCCUGAUGACAGAGAGAGAAUUCCAUGCUCAUGGGUAGGAAAAAUCAAUAUCGUGAAAAUGGCCAUACUGCCCAAGGUAAUUUAUAGAUUCAAUGCCAUCCCCAUCAAGCUACCAAUGACUUUCUUCACAGAAUUGGAAAAAACUACUUUAAAGUUUAUACGGAACCAAAAAAGAGCCCGUAUUGCCAAGUCAAUCCUAAGCCAAAAGAACAAAGCUGGAGGCAUCACGCGACCUGACUUCAAACUAUACUACAAGGCUACAGUAACCAAAACAGCAUGGUACUGGUACAAAAACAGAGAUACAGACCAAUGGAACAGAACAGAGCCCUCAGAAAUAAUGCCGCAUAUCUACAACUAUCUGAUCUUUGACAAACCUGACAAAAACAAGCAAUGGGGAAAGGAUUCCCUAUUUAAUAAAUGGUGCUGGGAAACCUGGCUAGCCAUAUGUAGAAAGCUGAAACUGGAUCCCUUCCUUACACCUUACACAAAAAUUAAUUCAAGAAGGAUUAAAGACUUAAACGUUAGACCUAAAACCAUAAAAACCCUAGAAGAAAACCUAGGGAAUACCAUUCAGGACAUAGGCAUGGGCAAGGACUUCAUGUCUAAAACACCAAAAGCAAUGGCAACAAAAGCCAAAAUUGACAAAUGGGAUCUAAUUAAACCAAAGAGCUUCUGCACAGCAAAAGAAACUACCAUCAGAGUGAACAGGCAACCUACAGAAUGGGAGAAAAUUUUUGCAAUCUACUCAUCUGACAAAGGGCUAAUAUCCAGAAUCUACAAUGAACUCUAACAAAUUUACAAGAAAAAAACAACCCCAUCAAAAAGUGGGCAAAGGAUAUGAGCAGACACUUCUCAAAAGAAGACAUUUAUACAGCCAAAAGACACAUGAAAAAAUGCUCAUCACCACUGGCCAUCAGAGAAAUGCAAAUCAAAACUACAAUGAGAUACCAUCUCACACCAGUUAGAAUGGCAAUCAUUAAAAAGUCAGGAAACAACAGGUGCUGGAGAGGAUGUGGAGAAACAGGAACACUUUUACACUGUUGGUGGGACUGUAAACUAGUUCAACCAUUGUGGAAGUCUGUGUGGCGAUUCCUCAGGGAUCUAGAACUAGAAAUACCAUUUGACCCAGCAAUCCCAUUACUGGGUGUAUACCCAAAGGAUUAUAAAUCAUGCUGCUAUAAAGACACAUGCACACGUAUGUUUAUUGCAGCACUAUUCACAACAGCAAAGACUUGGAACCAAGCCAAAUGUCCAACAAUGAUAGACUGGAUUAAGAAAAUGUGGCAUGUAUACACCAUGGAAUACUAUGCAACCAUAAAAAAUGAUGAGUUCAUGUCCUUUGUAGGGACAUGGAUGAAGCUGGAAACCAUCAUUCUCAGCAAACUAUUGCAAGGACAAAAAACCAAAUACGGCAUGUUGUCACUCAUAGGUUGUAAUUGAACAGUGAGAACACAUGGAUACAGGAAGGGGAACAUCACACACCGGGGCCUGUUGUGGGGUGGGGAGAGAGGGGAGGGAUAGCAUUUGGAGAUAUGCCUAGUGUUAAAUGACGAGUUACUGGGUGCAGCACACCAACAUGGCACAUGUAUACAUAUGUAACUAACCUGCACUUUGUGCACAUGUACCUUAAAACUUAAGUAUAAAAAAAAAAAAAAGUUACAUCCUGGUUUCUCAAAUUGUGCCACAACUGGCUAUUGUUAUUUCUAGGAAGAAAUCUCACUGUGGCUUUUUGUCUAAAACAUGAAAACUUUUAGUAUACAAAAGACAUUCCCUCCACUGAGAAGGACUUGUAGGGUUAUUUACUAAAGCUGCCUUUUUAAUUUCUCUUUAAUUAUCCUCAAUCCUACUCAUUUCUCCUGGAGAGGUGGCUGGCAAUAAGGGUAGUGGCUUGCCUGCCUUGACAGUUGUGGUACUUCCUGAGGGUGGCCACAUAAGAGGACACAGUGAACAGGUGAUACUCAAGGAAAGCAAAGAUUCAGGGGACAGAGGAGCUGGUUGUAAGGAUGUAUCUGCCUGUUCCCUCCCUGAUACAGGAAUACCUCCUCAUCCGGCCCAUCUCUAUCUGUUUAUAUCUCCUGUCAUCCUUGUAGAUACAGGAAACUAAAUGACAGCAGUUAACACACCAAGGUAAGAAUAAGUAGUAAACAUCUGAGAAGAGCAGUUCAGGAUGGCUGGCUACUAAAUAACCCUCACCACACACACCUGCUGCCCAUCUGGGCCAGUUCAUGAGGACCGAUUUGACUAGAGCUGUCCCAGCAAGUGCAUUCCAACAUCUGGUCAUGAUGCUCUGAAGGGCACCAGCCUCUUCUUGUCACCCCCUCUUCUCCACACUGAGCCACCAUCACCUCAUGCCCGGAUCACUGCCAUAGCCUAUCUGGUCUUCUUGCUUCCACUCUGGACCUUCUACGGUCUACUUUCAACCCAACAGCCAGAGGGAGUCCCCUCCUUUGUUAUUCAAUUUAACUAACACUGAGUGCCUACAAUGCCAGUUUCUGAGAGAUAUAAAUAUUACAUGAACCCUGCCUUCAAGGAGGUCACAGUCCUAUAGAAGUCUCUCUAGCAAAAAGAGACACAAAUAAAUGUUUACGUAGAGUUAAGUGCCAAAUAAAGUGAAAUACUCAAAGUGGUCCUUUUAAAACUAUUACUCCUCUGCCCAGAACCGCACAAGGCUCCCCCAUUUCACUCAAGAAAAAAGUCCUUCAUGUAGGGCCUCACGAUCCUAUAUUAGUACUUCUCAAAUUAUCUAUGAAGGACAGGAGUCUUGUGCUUAUUUCUUUUGUAAAAUACAAUAAAAAUGCAACCGAAUAGUGCAGCAGUGUCAAAUUGUUAUAAAAGUUUCUAAUUGCUCCCUCUCAGUCUCAGCUAGCAGCACUCAUUUGAUCUGGCUUUCUGAGCUCGUUUUCUCAUUACUCAUGGGUGUACUCUGUGCCAGUGAACUGGCAUGCCCACCUCGCUCCAGCCCAAGUCAUUGCGUCUGUCUUACACUCUUCCUCCAUGUAGGAUAUGGCUGCAUAGCUCAUCCCUCCUCCUUCGGCAAGUCUUUUCAAAUGUCAUUUUCUCAAUGAGGGCGACCCUGAGGACCCAAACUGAAAACUGCAAACCAACCUCUGCCCUGGCACUCCCAUCACUCUGCUCUGCUGCUGCUUCUCUCCCAUUGUGCUUAUCGCCCUCUAACAUCUUCUGCCGCUUACUGAUUAUGCUAUGGUCUGUCUCUUCCCACAGGGCAGGAAUCUUUAUCUGUUUGUUCACUGUUGUAUCCCUAACGACCUAGAACUAGGUCUGAGAUACUGUAGGCACUAAAUUAAUAUUUGUGGAAAGAAUGACUUGUCCUCUCACAUUCUGUCUCAACUCUUACCUCUAAUUUUAAAGGAUCCUGAAUGGUUGACAAGAAACCAAAAGUGUGUGGGGAAUACAAGCCCUCAUUCAAUAAGCCUAAUGUUGUAGCAGUUAAAAUUACAGGUACCAUUACAUGAAAUAUUCAGAAUAGCUCAAUCCACAGAGACAGAAUGAAGACUGGUGUCUGUAAGGGGCUUGCAGGGGGAGGACGGGGAGAAACUGCUGGAUGGUUGUGGGACCUUACUUUGGAGUGAUGGAAAGGUUCUGGAACUGGACGUGGUGGUAAUUAUACAACACUCUGAAAGUGCUAGAGGCCAAAGAAUUGUUCACUUCACAGUGGUUAAUUUUAUGUCAUGUGAAUUUCACCUAAUAAGUUAAAAAUCACAAGUACAAAAAUACUUAUAUCUCACCUUAUUGUAUUAUCCAUAUAUACUUAGUAAUACAAAUCUCAAUAUAGAGCUCAAAAAGACACUAUACUCUCCUGCAACUGGACAAAGAUAAGGUGCAGAAGCCUGAAGAAGCAGCAAGAAAUGGCACAUGAUGAAGCCAGGAAACUGGGAGUUCCUGGCAAAGGAGGGGAGGGAUGGCAGGGGCAGGGCAGGGAAAAACCACACACCACUGGGGAGGGCAACAUUGUAGGGUGAGGCGCGGCAGUGUCACAGGGCCUGUGUUCACAGCCUUGUGUAGUCCCUCCCACCCUGGGCUUAGCCAGGAGUACCCUGCAUGUGAAGCAGCAGAGGAGACAUCUAGGCCCAGUGAGCUGCACAGUGUCUGUCUCUGAAUCUGCAUGGUCAGGGAGGCUGCUCUGAGGAGGAGGCAUUUGGCCCAGAUGGGACAGAACUGAUUUGAGAAAUGCAAGAGAGCGGUCUGCCUGGCAGAACCUUCCCCAAGUGUCCUGAGAUGCUGGGAAAGGGCCUGGUUCCUCCCGGAAGGCCUGGGCAUAGUAGACUGUCCUGGUUGGGUGGUUUUAUUUGUUAAUCUCCUCUGCCACUGGAGAAACUCGGGAGCGACUACUGCUACCUGUGUGCAUGAGCACACGUUCAGCAUGAACACAUCUGUGCUCCCGGUGGCCACCUGUCUGGCUCCGGCUCUGGACUGCUUGUUCUGACUCUGUCUCACUAUCACAUUUUGCUUCUCCACCCCCUCACCCUUCACCUCCCAUGUUCUUGACUGCCAGUCACACAUGCUGCCCCUUUCUUUUGAUCUCUGCCUGUGUCUCUCUUGCCUGCUCUGGUUCCCCAUUUACUUCCUCCUUUCCCUCCACCCAACAGUCUCCCCACUCCCUCUGUCUCCCUCCCUCUCAAGUCCUUUCAGCCUCUCUGAACAACUGAACACAUCCACCUGGACCUGGAGGGAAGAUGGAUCCUUACCCAGCGAGACGUGUCUGUCCUUCCUCUGGGUGGCACCCCUGUAGAGGGCCCUUUGUGCAGGGCCUGGGCACAUCCAUUCUUGCUGACAGAGGGAUACAGCUCUGUUGUCACACGUGGCUGGUCCCUGUAACAACACUGGAGCUGCUGCUACCGAUAAAAUAGCACCACUCUAGCCUGGGGUGGGGGCAGAGACAGGAUCACAGUUGUCAGAUCAGGGGCAAGGCAAAGGCAGGGGAGGUCAGCUCCCAGUGGGACAGGUUCUGAGCCAUGUGAUGAUGUCAGAGUGGACAGAAUCAAAAUAACCCGAGAAGCCCCAUGGACCACACAGAAUCUUUCUCAUGUCUCUGGAAAUGAAGAGGGUUUUGGGGUGAGAGUGGGUACUCAGGAGACAGAAGGCAUCAACCACAGCUCACCUGGGACCCAGCUGUCCAGACCACAGCACCUGUCUCCUGGUCGUGGAGACCUGUGUUUUGAGGCAGGUUCCUGGGAGCCUGAGGAGCAAGCCAGGCUGGGGGAAAAAACAGCCGCUAUUAGAGGGCGGCUUCCACACAACAGCACAGAGCAGAAGCUCUCAAAGUGGGCUCCUGGGCCAGCCGCAUCAGCAGCCCCUGGCAACCCAUCAGAAAUACAAAUUCUGGGGCCCCACCUCAGAUCUUCUGAAUCAGAAAUUCUGGAGGUGGGGCCUAGGACUCUAUUUUAUCACUCUCCCACCUCCAAAUGAGUCUGAGGCAAACUCAAGUUUGAGAACCACUGCCAGAGCUCACAGCCUCUGUGAGUUGAGAAGUUCCUUUCAUGAGAUUCCUCUUGGCAUAAGAGCUUUAAUUUUUUUUUUUUCAUUUUAAAGAAAAAUAUACAUGUCAGGGAAAAAAAGAGAAUCGUAGUGGGCAAACAAAAAUCUCUCCAUAGCCCUGCCACCCAAAGAUAACCACAGUACUCUUUAAAAUAUCACAGUAACAGAAACCCUUUAUAUUUUUCAGACCACGAUAAUACAUUUUUUCUCAAGUCUCCAACUUCAAGAACUGUACAAAUAUGACUGUGACAUCGCUUGAAAAUAUAGGAAAAUUAAAAAAAUUGUACAAAUAAAAUGAAUCAUGUCUAUGACUUAUUAAUGGAACUUCAGUGGCAACUCAGAGGACAUGUUUGCUUCCCCUUCCGCCACGAUUGUAAGUUUCCUGAGGCCUCCACAGCCAUGCAGAACUGAGCUCUCUGUACAUCCUCAACCAGAGCCACAGCUUCCUCGCCGUUUUCUGGAUGCUGCUCCCUCACCCAGGUCUGGAUCUCCUCUGGCAAGAUAGUCAGAAACUGCUCCAAAACCAGCAGCUCCAGGAUUUC